UUUUUUCAGAACUUUUUAGUCUGCGAAUAGAGUUUUUACGAACACAAACAGUGUCCCGGCGAGUGUCGCUAACUUCAAAGGGUCCGCGUGUUCAAAAAAUGUUUGUCUGCUUGGUGUAGACGUCUUGAGACAGUUUGUUUUUAAUUUCGUUGUUGUGAUUGAGUGGUUUAGUCUAAUUUUUAUGCGUAAAGAGAAAACGUCGCAAUGUCUAUUAUUAGUAUUUUAAUUUAUUUAUAUCAAAAUAUUGACACGUACAAACCGGUAUAUGCACUUUUAGGAUACUUCUAAAAAAGUGUGGACAGUGGAGGAAACCGCCAAUUUAAUUGAGGACUAUAAAAAUUUUAAAAGCUUAUGGGAUGCUAAACACGCAGACUAUAAAAACAGAAUUAAAAAAACAAGAUGCCUUGAUGGAACUAGGAAAAAUGUGUAACGUGUCCACAGCCGAAGUUGAGCGAAAGUUGGCCAACAUUAAUUCGCAGUAUCGUAGAGAGAGGCGUAAUUAUAAAAAAUAUAAAAAGUCUGGAGCGGCUUCUUCUUUUCGUUCUAAAAGGUUUGGUUAUAAUUUGAUGGCUUUCCUCCGAGACAAAAAUAAACCAAGAACUACAGAAGAGUUCCUAUAUAACGUAUAUGUUUUUUGUAAUGUUCUGUAUCUGAUGAUGGCUGUUUACACAGCCGAAAUGCAUAAUACAUUUACCUAAGUGUCCCACAUGCAUUUUUCUUGGAGAUAAAGACUUCCCCUAUUUGUUAUCUUUAUAUACGCAUUCUCCUACAUUUUCCGGCUGCAGUAAAAUCGACUUACGUAAUACACGAAAUACACUUGCGAGAAUCCCAAAUACAUUUUCUACUAUUCUACGGGCUCUGGACAACAGAUAAUUGAAGAUUCGUUGCCUAGACCUUUUUUCUUGAUGUCCACUAUAUGGUUUCAUUAUGUUCGGAGACAGUGGAAACGAAUCAUCGGCUACGAUUACAUAAGGGAUGGUCUUCGUUUUUCCAGGAAGGGCUUUUUCAGAAGGUAUAUUUAAUGAAGAGGUCUCCAUUAGUUUCCGAAAGGCGGUGCUUUUAAAGACUCCUCCGUCGGAAAUUCGGCCUUGACAACCGACAUUAGCAUACAUAAAUUUAUAGUUAGCAUCUACAAUCGCAAAAAGAACAAUGCUGAAAUAUCCUUUAUAAUUAUAGUAUUCACUAGCACUAAAGUUGGGAGCUUCCACCAUGACAUGUUUUCCGUCCAUAGCACCUAGGCACAACGGGAAGUUCCAUUUUGCGUUGAAGUCAUCUGCAACUUUUUUCCAUUCAUCUGCAGUACUCGGUACCUACAACAAUUGUAAAUCUUAGUGACUUGUAGCUUGUAAACAGUGAUACUUCAUCAGAAAAGGAAACUGAAACUGUCGACAAUGCAGAAUCAUUAAUUUGUACAGCUGAAGAUGCCCGCAUAAAUGAUGAGAAUAAUGAAAAUGUUCGUGAGGUCCAAAAUGACAAAGAAACCGAGAUCCCUCUUUCUACACCAAAAAGAAAAGAAAGCCCUAAAAGAAAACAAAAACCUGCUACAAAAGUUGGAAAAUCCGAAUCAGCUGAAGUUUUGGAAAUGAUGCGAAAUAUUUAUCAGACGAGGAAAUAAACUCCAGCUGUGGAUGAGUUCCAAAUAUUUGGGGAGCUUAUUGCCACAAAGAUAAGGAACCUAAAAACUCCAUAUGCUAGAAGCACUAUACAGAAUAAGAUCAGCAAUCUCCUGUACGAGGCGGAUAUUGGUACUUAUGAUGCACCACUAUCAAGCAAUACUUUCCAUUCAUAUCAUCAUGUGACUAAAAUUGGAAAUAAUGCGCAAUAUUCCAACCCGCCAAGUGUUGCAACAACAAUUGGAUCUCAACAAUACAGUGAUAAUCCGGAUAGUCGUACAUCAGCUUGUUCCUAUAUAGAAUUACAAUCACCCGUCUACAAUAAGCAGUUUUUAAAUGAAUAAAACAUAUUAUUUUAGGGAAAAUAUAAACAGUUUA
This is a long non-coding RNA of Anthonomus grandis grandis, 1991 nucleotides long. RefSeq lists it as uncharacterized. The record is from RefSeq and is a predicted model, not a curated record. Lineage: Eukaryota; Metazoa; Arthropoda; Insecta; Coleoptera; Curculionidae. The transcript has 3 exons.